CAGUCUGUUUACACUCGCGAUGCAAGGUUUACAAGAAGCCCCCUGAGCUAGAUUUGCUCUCCGCGGACCAGAGCAGCACUGUGGCAUAAACAACCCCAGCGAUCCAUUUCCUGGAUAUCCUCUCCCCGCGUGCACCAGGUUCAGCAAAACCGAAGACGCCUGCCUCCAGGAGAAAGCCUUCCUUGGACCUUAUGACCCACUUUUAUGGGCCCGGCGAUGUGGGUUCUGACCCCGUGGAUUGCGUUCUUGUCCAUCACGUGACCCAGGCCAAGCCCAGUCUGCAGACUCUGGGCUCUGGGCUUUGAUGCUUUUUGAAGGCUGAGUGCAAACGGCGGCUCUUAAAAACACACAGUUAAUUAUUCUCCAAGCUGGGAGCCAGGAUUUGCACCCCCGGGAGGGCUGACUGUCUUGCGGCAUCCGCCACGACAUCUGGCCCUUGGCAGGGUUUCCGGGACAUGCAGGCGGCUGCUUCUUUCUUUCCAUUCCGGAAAAAUGCUGGGGUCCUGACCACCUCCACAGCUGUGGGGGGACGGAACACCGUGGUCUGGGGCCUUCCACCCUCAGAUCUCGCUGUGGAUGAGACACUGGGCUGGGGUUCUAGGGCCGGCCCCCCCACCUUGGAUCUGGUACCUGCUGCAUCCCUUCCCUUCUCCGGACAUCUGUCCACUGCUGGCUUGGAGGAGGGAUGCGUCAUCCCAGGAAAGAUGCCCAGGGCCUGGUACACCGGCACUCAAGACACGUCUGUUAUCGGCGUCACGCCCCGAGGCCUGGGAGGCCUGCUGCUGCUUCCUGCCCUCCUCUGAUCAAGUUGCUGGACUCCAGGAUGCCCCUGGGCCCACAGGGAGGCUUUCCACCCCGACGCGGAAUCCAACAUCACAAACUACAAUCCUCCGGCACCGUUGUCUCCCUGUGGAAAUGCGUGGCUUCUGCGGACAGGCAGAAGGAAGACAAAGCCAUGGAGAGAGGACCAGCGUGUCCCAAGUUCCGGAUCCCGUCUCCAGACACACAAGCCUCCGUGUGGAAAAGGAGGUGCCUGUGCAGUGCACGGCCUUGGACACUGGGACAGAUGGUGAGUGGCUGUCCAAUUGUCCAUGCAGGGUGGCUGGCAUCGGUCCCGGCCCUGGACAGACCCACCUGGGCAGGGGUGCUGAGGCCAGGGCCUUCUCCAGUGGGGGAAGAACGGGGCUGGGGCCCUGCAGGGGUUCCUGGGGAGGCUGAGGCAAUAGGGUGUCCCGGCCCCAGCAUGUCCCUUGCCCAGCAGGCUGGCGCGGGAGCGCGGGAUCUGUGGGAGGCCUUGUCAGGUGCUCGGUGAGGGGGUUACGGGGGAUGGAACAUGGCGAGUUUUGUCCUCUGUUUCUGCUGGGGUGGAAAUGACCCAACGGUGUCCCUGGGAUAUAAAAAGGGCAUGUUUUGAUCUCAGUUUUGUGUUUAUAAAAUGCAAAGGAACUGAGUCCCCAGGGAUAGUGUUUCAACGCACCCUGGGAAUACUGCAGUCCGCGUGGGAUGGUGUUCUUGAUGAACACCUAGCUCCCCAUCCUGAAUGCAUGAAGGAUACUUUCUUUCCGGGACAUGGGACCAGGUUCGUACAGAACGCCGUGAAGAUUCGUUAGAUGACUGCAAGAGAUUGAGUUUGAAAUGUCACCAGUCAUGUUGGAUCCUUUGGGGCUCAUCCUGCAAAUAAAUUUUGG
Molecule: long non-coding RNA, 1688 nt
Organism: Lutra lutra (Eurasian river otter)
Lineage: Eukaryota; Metazoa; Chordata; Mammalia; Carnivora; Mustelidae
Exons: 3
Source: RefSeq, a predicted model, not a curated record